This 413-nucleotide RNase P RNA is filed under the name Alphaproteobacteria bacterium. RNAcentral's name for it is "RNase P RNA component class A". It matches the Rfam family "Bacterial RNase P class A". From Rfam's summary of the family: Ribonuclease P (RNase P) is a ubiquitous endoribonuclease, found in archaea, bacteria and eukarya as well as chloroplasts and mitochondria. Its best characterised activity is the generation of mature 5'-ends of tRNAs by cleaving the 5'-leader elements of precursor-tRNAs. Lineage: Bacteria; Pseudomonadati; Pseudomonadota; Alphaproteobacteria. The record is from RNAcentral.
CCAGACGGUCGGAUGGCCGCUUCUUGCGCUUGCGCGGGAAGAGGAAAGUCCGGGCUCCACGGAGGUACGGUGCCGGGUAACGCCCGGCGGGGGCGACCCCAGGGAAAGUGCCACAGAAAGUACACCGCCAACCCGUCUCGGCACGCCGGGCGGGCGGCAAGGGUGAAACGGUGCGGCAAGAGCGCACCGCGCCGCCGGCAACGGCGGCGGCAGGGAAAACCCCACCGGGAGCAAGACCAAAUAGGAGCGGCAGGCAUCCCGGAGCGAUCCGAGAUGCCGGGCGGGCCUUCGCGCCGCCGCUCGGGUCGGUCGCACGAGGCGUUCGGCGACGGGCGCCCCAGAGGAAUGGCCAUCACCGCCCUUUGGGAAACCAGAGAGCGGGACAGAACCCGGCUUACACGCCGUCUGGCGCU